This 1211-nucleotide ribosomal RNA is filed under the name metagenome. RNAcentral's name for it is "bacterial SSU rRNA". It matches the Rfam family "Bacterial small subunit ribosomal RNA", at positions 8 to 1174 of the family's 1533-position model. The record is from RNAcentral.
AGAGUUUGAUUCUGACUCAGAACGAACGCUGGCAGCGUGGAUUAGGCAUGCAAGUCGAACGGGAAACCGCGGAAUCAAUCUUCGGAAAGAAUUCGUGGUGGAUAGUGGCGGAAGGGUGAGUAACGCGUGGGCAAUCUGUCCUUAAGUUGGGGAUAACUCCGCGAAAGCGGGGCUAAUACCGAAUGGGGUCCUCCGGCGCAUGUCGGGGUGACUAAAGGUGGGGAUCCUUCGGGACCUGCCGCUUAGGGAGGAGCCCGCGUCCCAUCAGCUUGUUGGUGAGGUAAUGGCUCACCAAGGCAUACGGGUAGCUGGUCUGAGAGGAUGGUCAGCCACACUGGGACUGAGACACUGCCCAGACUCCUACGGGAGGCUGCAGUCGAGGAUCAUUCGCAAUGCGCGAAAGCGUGACGAUGCGACGCUGCGUGGAGGAUGAAGGCCUUCGGGUUGUAAACUCCUGUCAUGAGGGAAAAGACGCCCUAUCUCUAAUAUAGGUGGGGCCCGAUGGUACCUCAAGAGGAAGCCACGGCUAACUCUGUGCCAGCAGCCGCGGUAAUACAGAGGUGGCGAGCGUUGUUCGGAUUUACUGGGCGUAAAGGGUGCGUAGGUGGCUUCGUGUGUCGGAUGUGAAAGCCUACAGCUCAACUGUGGAAUUGCAUUCGAAACUGCGGAGCUAGAGUACAGGAGAGGAGAGCGGAAUUCUUGGUGUAGCGGUGAAAUGCGUUGAUAUCAAGAAGAACACCGGUGGCGAAGGCGGCUCUCUGGAAUGUUACUGACACUGAGGCACGAAAGCUGGGGGAGCAAACAGGAUUAGAUACCCUGGUAGUCCCAGCUGUAAACGGUGUGCACUUGGUGUGGGCGGAAUUGACCCCGCCCGUGCCGGAGCUAACGCGUUAAGUGCACCGCCUGGGGAGUACGGCCGCAAGGCUAAAACUCAAAGAAAUUGACGGGGGCCCGCACAAGCGGAGGAGCAUGUGGCUUAAUUCGAUGCAACGCGAAGAACCUUACCAGGGCUUGACAUGUAGCUGCACGCCCCGUGAAAGCGGGGAAGCCUUCGAGGGUGCUACACAGGUGCUGCAUGGCUGUCGUCAGUUCGUGCCGUGAGGUGUUUGGUUAAGUCCAGCAACGAACGCAACCCCUGUGUUUAGUUGCCACCGCAGGUGAUGAGCCUGCGAGCACUCUAAACAGACUGCCUAUGCAAGUAGGAGGAAGGU